This 444-nucleotide ribosomal RNA is filed under the name uncultured bacterium. RNAcentral's name for it is "bacterial SSU rRNA". It matches the Rfam family "Bacterial small subunit ribosomal RNA", at positions 331 to 793 of the family's 1533-position model. The record is from RNAcentral.
CCAGACCCUACGGGAGGCAGCAGUGGGGAAUAUUGCACAAUGGGGGAAACCCUGAUGCAGCGACGCCGCGUGAGCGAUGAAGUAUUUCGGUAUGUAAAGCUCUAUCAGCAGGGAAGAAAAUGACGGUACCUGACUAAGAAGCCCCGGCUAACUACGUGCCAGCAGCCGCGGUAAUACGUAGGGGGCAAGCGUUAUCCGGAUUUACUGGGUGUAAAGGGAGCGUAGACGGCAGCACAAGUCUGGAGUGAAAUCCCGGGGCUUAACCCCGGAACUGCUUUGGAAACUGUGCGGCUGGAGUGCAGGAGGGGUAAGCGGAAUUCCUAGUGUAGCGGUGAAAUGCGUAGAUAUUAGGAGGAACACCGGUGGCGAAGGCGGCUUACUGGACUGUAACUGACGUUGAGGCUCGAAAGCGUGGGGAGCAAACAGGAUUAGAUACCCUUGUAC